Molecule: ribosomal RNA, 495 nt
Filed under: uncultured bacterium
Lineage: Bacteria
Description: bacterial SSU rRNA
Rfam family: Bacterial small subunit ribosomal RNA
Source: RNAcentral
ACUCAAAGGAAUUGACGGGGGCCCGCACAAGCAGUGGAUUAUGUGGUUUAAUUCGAAGCAACGCGAAGAACCUUACCAGGUCUUGACAUCCAACUAACGAGGUAGAGAUACGUUAGGUGCCCUUCGGGGAAAGUUGAGACAGGUGGUGCAUGGUUGUCGUCAGCUCGUGUCGUGAGAUGUUGGGUUAAGUCCCGCAACGAGCGCAACCCCUGCCAUUAGUUGCUACGCAAGAGCACUCUAAUGGGACCGCCGUUGACAAAACGGAGGAAGGUGGGGACGACGUCAAAUCAUCAUGCCCCUUAUGACCUGGGCUACACACGUAAUACAAUGGCCGUUAACAGAGGGAAGCAAGACCGCGAGGUGGAGCAAAACCCUAAAAACGGUCCCAGUUCGGAUCGCAGGCUGCAACUCGCCUGCGUGAAGUUGGAAUUGCUAGUAAUCGCGGAUCAUCAUGCCGCGGUGAAUACGUUCCCGGGCCUUGUACACACCGCCCGU